This 440-nucleotide ribosomal RNA is filed under the name uncultured bacterium. RNAcentral's name for it is "partial 16S ribosomal RNA". It matches the Rfam family "Bacterial small subunit ribosomal RNA", at positions 338 to 795 of the family's 1533-position model. The record is from RNAcentral.
CCUACGAGGGGCAGCAGUGGGGAAUAUUGCACAAUGGGGGAAACCCUGAUGCAGCGACGCCGCGUGAGUGAAGAAGUAUCUCGGUACGUAAAGCUCUAUCAGCAGGGAAGAAAAUGACGGUACCUGACUAAGAAGCCCCGUCUAACUACGUUCCAGCAGCCGCGGUAAUACGUAGGGGGCAAGCGUUAUCCGGAUUUACUGGGUGUAAAGGGAGCGGAGACGUCAGCGCCAGUCUGGAGUGAAAUGCCGGGGCUUAACCCCGGAACUGCUUUGGAAACUGUGCGGCUGGAGUGCAGGCGGGGUGAGCGGAAUUCCUAGUGUAGCGGUGAAAUGCGUAGAUAUUAGGAGGAACACCGGUGGCGAAGGCGGCUUACUGGACUGUAACUGACGUUGAGGCUCGAAAGCGUGGGGAGCAAACAGGAUUAGAUACCCCUGUAGUC